UCGACGAAAUGUUUGUGGUUUUGUAUUAUUUGCGAAAGAAACGAUUAGAGGCAGUUAAAAAAAGGAGAUAUUGGGUACACCCAAUUCUCAGGGAAAGAUUUACCUUAGGAAUAUUUCAGAAUUUGAUAGCUGAAUUAAGAAGUGAUGAAGUGAAAUUUUUCAAUUAUUUUAGAAUGUCUAUAAAUACAUUCAACGAUCUACUAUCUCGGAUAUCAGGAUGCAUAAACUACAAAAAUACAGUAUUUAGAGACUGCAUUUGCACUGAAGAAAGGCUGUCCAUAUUUUUAAGGUAAGAUAACCUAAUUAUAUUAUUUGUUUAUUAACAGAGCUCCGAAAAAUGUAAUGCUAAUUUACCUAAAGUUCGCAGUAGGACGACGAGUUAGACCUUAUAACCACCAAAAAAUAUGAUAUAUUUUUAUUGAUCGCGGGGCGGCGCGGGCGAAAUCGUUCCGACAUCCGACAAAAUGUGAACAGCGCUAUAUUCACUCGUACGCGAGCGAGACACGACACGAUUUUUUUCCGGGCUGGGAGGGCUGGCAAAACGCACGACAUUUUAUGUCGUAUCCGACACGAAAUCGUUGUCGGACGAGUGUGAACAGCUUCAUAUAAAAUGUUCUGCCAGUGGAACGUACGAUUAAAAAUCGCCACGACAUCCGACAUAGUGGGAACGAGCUCUUACAUAUAAGGUUGAUCUAAAUAUACUCAAUUUUGUUUCAUUCUCAAUAUUAAGGAAUUUUGUAGUCAAUUAGCAUUAAUUUUAGUGUUUUUGCAGCUCUAAACUACUACUAACUCAUUACCAACAGGAGAUGGGUACUGUUUUUUUUUUUAUCUGUAACCAUAUACUGUUCGUUGACUUUUUUUUUCACAAAAUAUUAACAGCGUUAUUUAAGUAUUUUAGGUGUUUCAGUAACUUUACUGUCAAUAUUACACUGUAUUGACAGUAAUAUGCCAAAAAUAGUGGACUCAAGACAUGGUUUAUACAUUUUGUAACAUUUUCCUUAUAAUAUUGAGGCAUUUUUGAGAAGUCAUUUGCUGAGACAAAGUUUCCAUUUUUUCUCGAUACCUGGUAAAGGGUUAAUCCCAGACCCAUGCUGUGAUGAUUGACCUCUCUUUAUUCAAUGUACGAUUUAAAUGUAUUGUUACAAAGCCUAUUCUAAAUCAUAUGGUAUUGUCAGUUUUGCAAGGUCUAAGUGGAGUCUCAGUUGGUUAGAAUGGUAAGUGUCGGUUUGGACAUAAAAAUCAUGUUUCAGCCGAUGGUUCGGUUUCAGCCGAGACUAGAGCAUAAGGUUUCGGCAAACAAUCUGAUUUCGGUCGGAUAUUAGUACUUACCUAAAUAUGUCCUAUAGGUAUAACAAUACCCAAUACUUACGUGUGUGUCUCACCUUUUAAAAAUAGGAGGUAGGUAUAUAUAAUCUCGAGUACUUUUCCAUCUAUUGGUCUCAGCCUAUUGCUUCUUUUUAUAAAAAUGUCUGUGUUCACUGUAUUCAGAUCAAUGUUUCGUCUAUCGAUGUUUUUAUCUCACUGUGAUUUCAAUAUUAUUGUUUGUUGUAAAUAUUAAAUGGUAUUGUUUA
Molecule: long non-coding RNA, 1571 nt
Organism: Cydia fagiglandana
Lineage: Eukaryota; Metazoa; Arthropoda; Insecta; Lepidoptera; Tortricidae
Exons: 2
Source: RefSeq, a predicted model, not a curated record